RNAcentral lists this long non-coding RNA (1149 nucleotides) under Salmo salar (Atlantic salmon). RNAcentral's name for it is "lncRNA (ENSSSAG00000111221.1)". Lineage: Eukaryota; Metazoa; Chordata; Actinopteri; Salmoniformes; Salmonidae. The record is from RNAcentral.
UAACCCAAUCAAUGAACAUGAUAGACAGCCUAUUUUUCUAUUGGCUACUUAACCAGAUGGUCUGACGUCACCACUAUGCGUCAAAUCUUCCCACUAUGUCCGCAUGUUCUAAACAUGGUGAACCAGUUAACAACACCUGCAACAAACUUUGGUUAUCAAUGACAAACAAAUCUGUGUUUAUCAAUGAUGUCACCUUUGGCCAAAUGCCCCAGUACUGUUGGGCAGGGUCCUGACCCCUGAGAAGAAUCUGGUGUUGCAGUCAAAAAUACAGACGGCGGCCAUUGGCACCAACAGCACCUACCUCCCUAUUGAGGUCCUCACGGGCCUCCAGUUCUUCCCCCUGAAGCAGACGGAUUCCCCCUCUCUGAGGUUAUGCAGUGGUGUCCCCUUCUUCCCCCAGUCCAGCUGUGUGUCAGCCCUCGGAGGUUCUAGAGAUGACAGAGAGGGGAACCUUAAACUACAGCUGAUGGUGAUUGAUAUGUUGUGUCAGAUACUGCAGACUGAGUCUAUAUGGGAUGUCCAGCAAUGGAUUCUGACAGCUGGUCAAAGAGAAAAGGACCAGGUUCUAAGUCUGCUGUGUUCCGCCCUGGCCAAGGACCCUGUCUCAGCCUAUGAGGCUCCAGGAAGAGAGCAGCUGACAGUGAAGGAGGUUCAAAACUUCCCUCCUGCCUCCAGAAUGGCUUUGAUCAGUGAGAAGGAUACCACCAGAAAUCAUUCCCUAGAAAUGAUGUCAAACUGUGACUCAGGUAAACUGGAGGAUGCAGACACAGAGAGGGCAGAGUCCAAGACCCCCAGGGAGAAUCACAGCGCCAGACCCCUGAGUACCCAGAGGACCCUGGGUAGCCCCCCCGUGUGUCACCUCAACCAGAAGGUGGUCCUACGGUGCACCAAGUGGGCCCUGAUGCCUCACACACAACCUGAAGUGUUCCAGGCUGAAUGGCCCAACUAUACCCAGCAGGCACCUGGCUGACUCGUGACUUAAAACACAACUCUGGCAAUACACCUGGGGCUGGUUCAGGAAGUUGCAACGUCACUGAACGUUCAGAUAGAAAUGUAUGAUGUAGAAUAGAUACCAUUGUCUGUCAUGUUGAAUAGAAUAACCUAUUCAACAUGACAGACAAUGGUAUCUAUUCUACAUCAUACAUUUCU